Molecule: small RNA, 109 nt
Filed under: Citrobacter freundii
Lineage: Bacteria; Pseudomonadati; Pseudomonadota; Gammaproteobacteria; Enterobacterales; Enterobacteriaceae
Description: RtT RNA
Rfam family: RtT RNA
About the family: This family represents a bacterial cis-regulatory element known as RtT RNA. The exact function of RtT is unknown although it is thought that it may be involved in changing the cellular response in relation to amino acid starvation.
Source: RNAcentral
AAAAUUCGAACCUGCGGCAGGUUCGGUGUUGAGCGCAGCGAAACAACGGAGCCGGUUACGGCGACGGCCCGAAGGGCGAGCGAAGCGAGUCAUCCUGCGCGACCCACCA